This 546-nucleotide ribosomal RNA is filed under the name Aspergillus niger. RNAcentral's name for it is "eukaryotic LSU rRNA". The stretch from base 162 to 315 matches the Rfam family "5.8S ribosomal RNA". Lineage: Eukaryota; Fungi; Ascomycota; Eurotiomycetes; Eurotiales; Aspergillaceae. The record is from RNAcentral.
CCUCCCAUCCGUGUCUAUUGUACCCUGUUGCUUCGGCGGGCCCGCCGCUUGUCGGCCGCCGGGGGGGCGCCUCUGCCCCCCGGGCCCGUGCCCGCCGGAGACCCCAACACGAACACUGUCUGAAAGCGUGCAGUCUGAGUUGAUUGAAUGCAAUCAGUUAAAACUUUCAACAAUGGAUCUCUUGGUUCCGGCAUCGAUGAAGAACGCAGCGAAAUGCGAUAACUAAUGUGAAUUGCAGAAUUCAGUGAAUCAUCGAGUCUUUGAACGCACAUUGCGCCCCCUGGUAUUCCGGGGGGCAUGCCUGUCCGAGCGUCAUUGCUGCCCUCAAGCCCGGCUUGUGUGUUGGGUCGCCGUCCCCCUCUCCGGGGGGACGGGCCCGAAAGGCAGCGGCGGCACCGCGUCCGAUCCUCGAGCGUAUGGGGCUUUGUCACAUGCUCUGUAGGAUUGGCCGGCGCCUGCCGACGUUUUCCAACCAUUCUUUCCAGGUUGACCUCGGAUCAGGUAGGGAUACCCGCUGAACUUAAGCAUAUCAAUAAGGCGGAGGAA